RNAcentral lists this microRNA precursor (61 nucleotides) under Pristionchus pacificus. RNAcentral describes it as "mir-8364 microRNA precursor family". It matches the Rfam family "mir-8364 microRNA precursor family". Lineage: Eukaryota; Metazoa; Nematoda; Chromadorea; Rhabditida; Neodiplogasteridae. The record is from Rfam by way of RNAcentral.
UCUUCAUUUCACGCACUCUCUCACCGGUCAGAGAGGCGAGAUAGUGUGUGAAAUGAAGAGA